Molecule: long non-coding RNA, 2723 nt
Organism: Vicia villosa (hairy vetch)
Lineage: Eukaryota; Viridiplantae; Streptophyta; Magnoliopsida; Fabales; Fabaceae
Exons: 4
Source: RefSeq, a predicted model, not a curated record
CAAAACCACUCACCCUUCUCUCUUGCUCUCACACUUUACAUUUCUCUUCUCUCACUCACCUCACAAACCCUAGUCUUCCUUCACUACCCUCCACCCAAGCCGCCUUCUGCCGUCACCGGUCUUUCCUUAUCUCUAUCCCAAACGAACAGUCACCGGUCUUUCCUUAUCUUUACCCCAAACAAACAGUCACCACCAUCAUCACCACAUUCACAUGUAUUUUGACUCACUCAAUCUCUCUUUACCACUCACCCUCACAGGAUCUCCAGCUUUAUCUAGAUUUAACUAACUAAUAUUUCAAUCCUUCAUUCUUGGUGUAUCUUGAAGUCUCUUUAUUCUCACAUCUACAUGUGCCAUAUCAAAGUAACAGAUCUGUUACUUUACCAAUAUCAGAUAAAUGGGUUUCUUGAUGUAAAGAUCCCCUGCGCCCAGUCAGCGUAGGUUCACCGUAUGCCUUCGUAUCUUCACCACUUGAUUCACAGUAGGAUUAAUCUAAAGGUCCAGGAUAAGCUCCCUACCACACACCCUCAGAGGCUGCCCAUACGGGAUCGAAGCUAAGUUUUCCAAUUUAUUUAUUUAUUUAUUUUGAUUACAUAAAUCCCUUUAUUUUUCUUUAUUUUUUUUCUUAUAUUAUAAUUUCUUUUUUCUUAUUUAUUUAUUUAAACAAAUUAGUGUUUAUAUAAUCUUCCUUUUAAUAAUUUAUUUAUUUUUAAUCGAAGACUCGAUUUUUUUCAUAAUCUUAUCAAUAAUUAUUUUUAAAACAAUAAAAAUUAUUAUAUAUAUUUUUAAUCGAUAAUUAAUUUUUAAGUUUGUUAAACUCGAUUCACUUAUAAACCCUAGAAUCCUCUGGUAGGUGUUAUCUAUUAACGCAUUUUUAGCCUUACAAACCCUUUAGGUCACAAUAAGUUUUCUUGAAUAAACCUGUUAGGUUCAGGGUUAGGGUUUGUAAACUCUUUAGGGUUUAUAGAUCUUUGAUCAAUUAAGGUUUGUAGAUCAUUCAUACACUAAAAUGUGAAAAUUUUCAGGGUUACCCCAAUAUCUUCCGACUACGCGCCGUCAAAUCAAAAGCUAAGUUUUCUAUUUCCUUCUUAAUAUCAUUUUUAUUUUUAUUUUUUGCCUUUUGAUUAAAAUAGGGUUUGUUCCAAUUACCAAUGAAUUUGUAAUGCGCUCACCCCUAUUAUUUUUUGUUUAAUUCUCAGAUGUUCAGAGUCAAUCGAAGGUUCGAGGAAGAUCAAGGCUAAGAUAAAGAUAAAUAAGUUAAUUAUUUAUCUUUCUUAUUUUUCCGCCUUUUAAAUUCCCCCAUCCCUGCAGGUGUUUAUUGUAAUAGCGUAGGAAAUUUUAUUUCUGCCUUUUAUUUUAUUUUAAUUGCGUGGUUAGUAAUUUAGGGAGUGAUAACUAUGAAUUGAAUGUAGAUCACCUAAUUACAAGAUAAAUGUCAUCGAAGUUAACCACAUGAUUGUGCACCCACACACCUUUAGGGUAAUCCCUCUUGUUGCCUUUGUUGCCUGUUGCCUUAUGAUUCUGUUGCCUCUAAGUGUACUAAAUAGUCACGUCCCUCGAUUCCGAGGAUACCUAAAGCAAUGUUGCCUUCAAAGUUAUUGAAACUCCCUUGAGGUUGCCUUAUAAAAGAUGAUUGUCCCAAUUGCUAAGGUAUCCUCGCAUGAUGCCUAAAAAGAUUAAUGACUAUUAUAUCCUUCCCUUAGACUACCUGCCCUCUUUAUGGUAGGGACAGUCUUAUGGUGAACGAUACUUUUCUCGAUGACCCUCAACAUCCAAUGAAAGGACUUCCUACCCUCUUAUGGUAUGUGUGGACCGUCCUUUCGGGCCAUACCCCUCCGUGGUGUGGGAUACGUGAACUGACUCCUUUUUUGUCGAUCGGACGCUUUCGCGCCACUUUUGAAAAAGUUUACAGAGUCGCCACCGACCUUUUAUUUUAUCCAAUGAAGGAAAGGUUUAUAAAAGAAACAGAAAAAAGACCUUUGAGAGAUUCUGGGUAAGGGGGUAGGUUAUACAAAGGGAAGGUGUUAGCACCCUUUGUAUCCAUGGUUAUCCAUGGGCUCUUUAGUUUGCUUAGCUCAUUUGCUUUACUUUUCAAUUGAUUCGGAAUGCUUUACCUGUGUUUUUGAAAUACCUUUGCAAAUAGAAUUUGUAAUGAUCCUUGUGCGGAUAUAUACAAAUGCUUGUUUAUCUUUCGAAAGAUGUUUUGAAAAGAUCGUUAAUUUUGUAAUGAUCCGUGUUUGGAUGUAUACAAAAUAUUGUCUUUUGGAAAAUUCGUUUUUAAAAAAACAACAGUGUAUGAGAAUUUUGUUUGUUUUGAUUUUGAGCAAGCAAACUAGGAGGUCUACCCUGAGUUAGGAGGUCUUUAUCCUUGUUCCCUUUAAAAAUCUAUCCAUUCGUCGGAUAUAAACAAAAGGUUCGAUUUUGUACUCGAAACAGUAGAGAUGUGACUUUGAUUUUGAAAAGAGUGAAAAGGGAUUACCCUAAGAGGUGCAAAUGUGAUUGUGAUUGAAUUCAGAUAUUUAUCUUUGAAGUUAGUGAUCUGACGGUUCAGUUUUAUCUUUGACAUACACGCAGUUUAUAUGGGUACUGGAAAUUAAAAUGCGGGAAUGUAAAGUGCGGAAAGUAAAUCUACGCUAUUACAUCGAUUUUGCGGGAAAUGUAAACUAACCUAUUUACAUGAAUUUGACAUCCUAUACAUUUAUCUAGGAACUUUAAAUUGCAAGAAA